RNAcentral lists this ribosomal RNA (305 nucleotides) under uncultured bacterium. Its description in RNAcentral is "bacterial SSU rRNA". It matches the Rfam family "Bacterial small subunit ribosomal RNA", at positions 337 to 659 of the family's 1533-position model. The record is from RNAcentral.
CCCUACGGGAGGCAGCAGUGGGGAAUAUUGCACAAUGGGGGAAACCCUGAUGCAGCGACGCCGCGUGAGCGAUGAAGUAUUUCGGUAUGUAAAGCUCUAUCCGCAGGGAAGAAAAUGACGGUACCUGAGUAAGAAGCCCCGGCUAACUACGUGCCAGCAGCCGCGGUAAUACGUAGGGGGCAAGCGUUAUCCGGAUUUACUGGGGGUAAAGGGAGCGUAGACGGUGAGACAAGUCUGAAGUGAAAGCCCGGGGCUCAACCCCGGGACUGCUUUGGAAACUGCCUGACUGGAGUGCUGGAGAGGCG